GGCGGACGGGUGAGUAACACGUGGGAACGUGCCCUUUGGUACGGAAUAACUCAGGGAAACUUGAGCUAAUACCGUAUGUGCCCUUCGGGGGAAAGAUUUAUCGCCAUUGGAGCGGCCCGCGUCUGAUUAGCUUGUUGGUGAGGUAAAGGCUCACCAAGGCGACGACCAGUAGCUGGUCUGAGAGGAUGACCAGCCACAUUGGGACUGAGACACGGCCCAAACUCCUACGGGAGGCAGCAGUGGGGAAUCUUGCGCAAUGGGCGAAAGCCUGACGCAGCCAUGCCGCGUGGAUGAUGAAGGUCUUAGGAUUGUAAAAUCCUUUCACCGGUGAAGAUAAUGACUGUAGCCGGAGAAGAAGCCCCGGCUAACUUCGUGCCAGCAGCCGCGGUAAUACGAAGGGGGCUAGCGUUGCUCGGAAUUACUGGGCGUAAAGGGCGCGUAGGCGGACAUUUAAGUCAGGGGUGAAAUCCCAGAGCUCAACUCUGGAACUGCCUUUGAUACUGGAUGUCUUGAGUGUGAGAGAGGUAUGUGGAACUCCGAGUGUAGAGGUGAAAUUCGUAGAUAUUCGGAAGAACACCAGUGGCGAAGGCGACAUACUGGCUCAUUACUGACGCUGAGGCGCGAAAGCGUGGGGAGCAAACAGGAUUAGAUACCCUGGUAGUCCACGCCGUAAACGAUGAUUGCUAGUUGUCGGGCUGCAUGCAGUUCGGUGACGCAGCUAACGCAUUAAGCAAUCCGCCUGGGGAGUACGGUCGCAAGAUUAAAACUCAAAGGAAUUGACGGGGGCCCGCACAAGCGGUGGAGCAUGUUGGUUUAAUUCGAAGCAACGCGCAGAACCUUACCACCUUUUGACAUGCCUGGACCGCACCGGAGACGGUGCUUUCCCUUUCGGGGACUGGGACACAGUGCUGCAUGGCUGUCGUCAGCUCGUGUCGGUGGAGAAGUGGUUGGGGUUAAGUCCCGCAACGAGCGCAACCCUCCGCCAUUAGUUGGC
This 994-nucleotide ribosomal RNA is filed under the name uncultured bacterium. Its description in RNAcentral is "bacterial SSU rRNA". It matches the Rfam family "Bacterial small subunit ribosomal RNA", at positions 97 to 1119 of the family's 1533-position model. The record is from RNAcentral.